Molecule: ribosomal RNA, 119 nt
Filed under: Salmo salar (Atlantic salmon)
Lineage: Eukaryota; Metazoa; Chordata; Actinopteri; Salmoniformes; Salmonidae
Source: RNAcentral
CUUUACGGCCAUACCAGCCUGGGUACGCCUGAUCUCGUCUGAUCUCGGAAGCUAAGCAGUGUCGGGCCUGGUUAGUACUUGGAUGGGAGACCGCCUUGGAAUACCAGGUGCUGUAAGCA